GAUGAAGAACGUAGCGAAAUGCGAUAAGUAAUGUGAAUUGCAGAAUUCAGUGAAUCAUCGAAUCUUUGAACGCACAUUGCGCCCCCUGGUAUUCCGGGGGGCAUGCCUGUUCGAGCGUCAUUACAACCCUCAAGCUCUGCUUGGCAUUGGGCCCCGCCAGUUCUGGCGGGCCCUAAAGUCAGUGGCGGUGCCUUCCGGCUCCGAGCGUAGUAAUUCUUCUCGCUCUGGAGACCCGGUUGUGUGCUUGCCAACAACCCCCAAUUUUUUAAGGUUGACCUCGGAUCAGGUAGGGAUACCCGCUGAACUUAAGCAUAUCAAUAAGCGGAGGA
This 329-nucleotide unclassified non-coding RNA is filed under the name soil metagenome. Its description in RNAcentral is "partial contains 5.8S ribosomal RNA, internal transcribed spacer 2, and large subunit ribosomal RNA". The stretch from base 1 to 120 matches the Rfam family "5.8S ribosomal RNA", at positions 35 to 154 of the family's 154-position model. The record is from RNAcentral.